AUGGGCAAAGGAGAUCUUAAGAAGCCAAAAGGCAAAAUAUCAUCAUAUGCAUUUUUUGUGCAAACUUGUUGGGAGGAACAUAAGAAGCAGCACCCAGAUGCUUCAGUCAACUUCUCAGAGUUUUCUAAGAAGUGCUCAGAGAGGUGGAAGGCCAUGCCUGCUAAAGAGAAAGGAAAAUUGAAGAUAUGGCAAAGGCAGACAAGGCCCGCUAUGAAAGAGAAAUGAAAACCCAUAUCCCUCCUAAAGGGGAGCCAAAAAAGAAAUUCAAGGAUCCCAGUGCACCCAAGAGGCCUCCUUCGGCCUUUUUCCUGUUCUGCUCUGAGUAUCGCCCAAAAAUCAAAGGAGAACAUCUUGGCCUGUCCGUGGGUGAUGUUGUGAAGAAACUGGGAGAGAUGUGGAGUAACACUGCUGCAGAUGACAAGCAGCCUUAUGAAAAGAAGGCUUCGAAGCUGAAGGAAAAAUAUGAAAAGGAUAUUGCUGCAUAUCGAGCUAAAGGAAAGCCUGAUGCAGCAAAAAAGGGAGUUGUCAAGGCUGAAAAAAUGCAAAAGGAGGAAGAGGAUGAUGAGGAGGAGGAAGAUGAAGAAGAUAAGUUGAUUCUAGUGCAGUUUUUUUUUCUUGUCUAUAAAGCAUUUAACCCUCCCAUACACAACUCACUCCUUUCAAAGAAAAAAAUGGAAAUGUAAGGCUGUGUAAGAUUUGUUUUAAACUGUACAGUGUCUUUUUUUAUGUAGUUUACACACUACCGAAUGUGUCUUUAGACACCCCUAUCUGGGUGGUAUUUUCGAUAGCCACUAACCUUGCAUGGUACAGGGUGGGGGAUGCAAACUGGCCUGGAAAUGUAAAGCAGGUUCUUUGGUGCACAGCACAAAUUAGUUACAUCUAAGGAUGGUAGUUUUUCAUCUUCAGUUGUCUCUGAUGCAGCUUAUAUAAAAUAAUUGUUGUUCUGUUAACUGAAUGACACUCUGUAAUUAUUAAAAAAAAAGUUGCAGCUGUUUUAUUGACAUUCUGAAUGCUUCUAAGGAAAUACAUUUUUUUUAUUAGUAUUGUCCUUUUCAUAGGUCUGAAAUUUUUCUUCUUGAGGGGAAGCUAGUCUUUUGCUUUUGCUCAUUUUGAAUCACAUGAAUUAUUAUAGUGUUUAUCCUUUCAUAUAGUUAGCUAAUAAAAGGCUUUUGUCUACACACCCUGCAUAUCAUAAUGGGGGUAAAGUUAAGUUGAGAUGAUUUUCAUCCAUAACU
Molecule: RNA transcript, 1235 nt
Organism: Sapajus apella (tufted capuchin)
Lineage: Eukaryota; Metazoa; Chordata; Mammalia; Primates; Cebidae
Gene name: high mobility group protein B1 pseudogene
Exons: 1
Source: RefSeq, a predicted model, not a curated record